Molecule: ribosomal RNA, 236 nt
Filed under: uncultured Alphaproteobacteria bacterium
Lineage: Bacteria; Pseudomonadati; Pseudomonadota; Alphaproteobacteria
Description: partial 16S ribosomal RNA
Rfam family: Bacterial small subunit ribosomal RNA
Source: RNAcentral
GAGUUUGAUCGUGGCUCAGAACGAACGCUGGCGGCAGGCUUAACACAUGCAAGUCGAACGCAUCCUUCGGGGUGAGUGGCGGACGGGUGAGUAACACGUGGGAACGUGCCUUUUGGUUCGGAAUAACUCAGGGAAACUUGAGCUAAUACCGAAUGUGCCCUUCGGGGGAAAGAUUUAUCGCCAUUAGAGCGGCCCGCGUCGGAUUAGGUAGUUGGAGGUGUAACGGACCCCCAACG